Molecule: ribosomal RNA, 277 nt
Filed under: uncultured bacterium
Lineage: Bacteria
Description: partial 16S ribosomal RNA
Rfam family: Bacterial small subunit ribosomal RNA
Source: RNAcentral
AUUGAACGCUGGCGGAAUGCUUAACACAUGCAAGUCGAGCGGGGUGUAGCAAUACACCUAGCGGCGGACGGGUGAGGAAUACAUAGGAAUCUGCCUCAGAGCGGGGGAUAGCCCGGGGAAACCCGGAUUAAUACCGCAUGAUGUCGCAAGACCAAAGUGGGGGACCGCAAGGCCCCACACUCUGAGAUGAGCCUAUGUCCGAUUAGCUAGUUGGCGGGGUAAUAGCCCACCAAGGCGACGAUCGGUAGCUGGUCUGAGAGGACGAUCAGCCACACCG